UGACCGAUAUGGGUGAACCUGCGAGAAGGAUCAUCUAUGAAAUAAACCUAGAUAGGGUUGCUGCUGGUUCCUUAGGGGACAUGUGCACACUUGUCAUCUUUAUAUUUCCACCUGUGCACCUUCUGUAGGCCUGGAUAGUUUUUCUGAAUGCGCUAGCACUCAGGUUUUGAGGAUUGAUUUCUAUGUCUCUCCUUACAUUUCCAGGCCUAUGUCUCUUCAUAUACCCAAUGUAUGUUACAGAAUGUAGUAGAUGGGCCUUUGUGCCUCUAAACAUAUUACAACUUUCAGCAACGGAUCUCUUGGCUCUCGCAUCGAUGAAGAACGCAGCGAAAUGCGAUAAGUAAUGUGAAUUGCAGAAUUCAGUGAAUCAUCGAAUCUUUGAACGCACCUUGCGCUCCUUGGUAUUCCGAGGAGCAUGCCUGUUUGAGUGUCAUUAAUAUAUCAAUCUCCUCAGCUUUUGCCUGUCGAGUAUUGGAUGUGGG
RNAcentral lists this unclassified non-coding RNA (482 nucleotides) under uncultured fungus. RNAcentral describes it as "partial contains ITS1, 5.8S rRNA and ITS2". The stretch from base 280 to 433 matches the Rfam family "5.8S ribosomal RNA". Lineage: Eukaryota; Fungi. The record is from RNAcentral.